CGAGUUGUAAUUUGCAGAGGAUGCUUUGGAUACUGACCGGUGUAAAGUCCCUUGGAAUAGGGCGCCCUGGAGGAUGAAAGCUCCGUCCACAUCGGAUCCAACUUCCAUGUAAAGCUCCUUCAAAGAGUCGAGUUGUUUGGGAAUGCAGCUCUAAAUGGGAGGUAAAUUUCUUCCAAAGCUAAAUACCGGCUAGAGACCGAUAGCGCACAAGUAGAGUGAUCGAAAGAUGAAAAGCACUUUGAAAAGAGAGUUAAAAAGCACGUGAAAUUGUUGAAAGGGAAGCUUAUGUCAUCAGACUUGAUGCCGAAGUUCAGCCUUAUGGUGUAAUUUUUCGGCAUCAGGCUAGCAUCAGUUUAGACAGCUGGAUAAAAGCUUUCGGGAAUGUAGCUCUUCGGAGUGUUAUAGCCUGAUGCAGAAUAUGUCUCGUCUAGACUGAGGUCCGCUUUGAGGAUGC
RNAcentral lists this ribosomal RNA (454 nucleotides) under Bathelium lineare. RNAcentral's name for it is "eukaryotic LSU rRNA". It matches the Rfam family "Eukaryotic large subunit ribosomal RNA", at positions 139 to 626 of the family's 3401-position model. Lineage: Eukaryota; Fungi; Ascomycota; Dothideomycetes; Trypetheliales; Trypetheliaceae. The record is from RNAcentral.